RNAcentral lists this ribosomal RNA (440 nucleotides) under uncultured bacterium. RNAcentral's name for it is "partial 16S ribosomal RNA". It matches the Rfam family "Bacterial small subunit ribosomal RNA", at positions 338 to 795 of the family's 1533-position model. The record is from RNAcentral.
CCUACGGGUGGCAGCAGUGGGGAAUAUUGCACAAUGGGGGAAACCCUGAUGCAGCAACGCAGCGUGAGUGAAGAAGUAUCUCGGUAUGUAAAGCUCUAUCAGCAGGGAAGAAGAUGACGGUACCUGAAUAAGAAGCCCCGUCUAACUACGUGCCAGCAGCCGCGGUAACACGUAGGGGGCAAGCGUUAUCCGGAUUUACUGGGCGUAAAGGGAGCCCAGACGGUAGGUCAAGUCAGUAGUGAAAGCCCAGGGCCCAACCCCGGAACUGCACUGGAUACUGUGAGGCUAGAGUACUGGAGGGGCAGGCGGAAUUCGUGGUGUAGCGGUGAAAUGCGUAGAUAUUAGGAGGAACACCAGUGGCGAAGGCAGCCUGCUAGACAGUAACUGACGUUGAGGCUCGAAAGCGUGGGGAGCAAACAGGAUUAGAUACCCGUGUAGUC